This 407-nucleotide ribosomal RNA is filed under the name uncultured bacterium. RNAcentral describes it as "partial 16S ribosomal RNA". It matches the Rfam family "Bacterial small subunit ribosomal RNA", at positions 30 to 526 of the family's 1533-position model. The record is from RNAcentral.
AUUGAACGCUGGCGGCAGGCCUAACACAUGCAAGUCGAGCGGAGCGGGUGACGGGUGAGUAAUGACUAGGUAUCUGCCUUGCAGUGGGGGAUAAGGUCCGGAAACGGGCGCUAAUACCGCAUACUCUCAGAUGAGCCUAGGUCGGAUUAGCUGGUUGUUGGGGUAAAGGCUUACAAAGGCGACGAUCCGUAACUGGUCUGAGAGGAUGAUCAGUCACACUGGAACGGGGACACGGUCCAGACUCCGACGGGAGGCAGCAGUGGGGAAUAUUGGACAAUGGGCGAAAGCCUGAUCCAGCCAUGCCGCGUGUGUGAAGAAGGGCUUCGGAUUGUAAAGCACGUUAAGUUGGGAGGCGUUACCAACAGAAUAAGCACCGGCUAACUUCGUGCCAGCAGCCGCGGUAAUAC